RNAcentral lists this ribosomal RNA (497 nucleotides) under uncultured bacterium. Its description in RNAcentral is "partial 16S ribosomal RNA". It matches the Rfam family "Bacterial small subunit ribosomal RNA", at positions 28 to 507 of the family's 1533-position model. The record is from RNAcentral.
GAUGAACGCUGGCGGCGUGCCUAAUACAUGCAAGUCGAGCGAACAGACGAGGAGCUUGCUCCUCUGACGUUAGCGGCGGACGGGUGAGUAACACGUGGAUAACCUACAUAUAAGACUGGGAUAACUUCGGGAAACCGGAGCUAAUACCGGAUAAUAUAUUGAACCGCAUGGUUCAAUAGUGAAUGACGGUUUUGCUGUCUCUUAUAGAUGGAUCCGCGCCGGAUUAGCUAGUUGGUAAGGUAACGGCUUACCAAGGCAACGAUGCGUAGCCGACCUGAGAGGGUGAUCGGCCACACUGGAACUGAGACACGGUCCAGACUCCUACGGGAGGCAGCAGUAGGGAAUCUUCCGCAAAGGGCGAAAGCCUGACGGAGCAACGCCGCGUGAGUGAUGAAGGUCUUCGGAUCGUAAAACUCUGUUAUUAGGGAAGAACAAAUGUGUAAGUAACUAUGCACGUCUUGACGGUACCUAAUCAGAAAGCCACGGCUAACUACGUG